GGCUUGGCAUUUUGUUAUCUUUGUCAAAAGAUAUCUCAUACCCCACAUGGCACACGCUCUUAUCUUUCAGGAUCAGAUGCUCUCUGUCUGCUUCUUGAAUCAUGUUUACGAAUGUUGCCCUUCCACAAGUGGAGAACAGCAGUGCCCUUAUGACGUUGCUACUUCAGGCCUGCCGGUUAGCAAGGAUUUAGGAUUUUGGGGGUUCUAUUAGAGAACAGAGUAAGAAUAAAGCGAGAGGAGAUCCUGUCUGCUUAUUUCCAGGCUGCUUCUAUGUGUGUGGAUUCAGGCUGUGGGUUCACAGGCAGCUGAGUUGAUUGGAUGGCUUCAUUCCUCUGAAAUGAAAUCUUACCUCCUCUUCCUUCUCUUGCCCUUCAUCUUCCCCCUCACCUCACCCUUCGUACUCCCCUCCUUCCACCAGUGCCUGGUGUGUGCCACACGUGUGCUGCACGUGUGACCCAUGCGAUGAGCCAGUUCAGUUCCCCAGUCCAGCAGAAAAUUGUCUUGAGUUUUUCUGGGUUAUUUUUCUGUUGAGUUGGUGAGCUGUGUCAGUUCAGAGACAUUUAUGGACCAACAUUAGAAUGAAUGGUGAGACUGUGAGGCUGAGGGCAGCAAGGGAGGGGGAACUGGGGAGGGCAGCCUCACCGCUUCUGCAGAGAUAAAAGCAUCAGAGAUAAAAGUGUGAGUAUCGGAGUUUUUAUCAGAGAUAAAAGUAUUGUGUCAGCCCAUUGCAUCUCUCAAAAUCACAGCUUCAGUUUUUCUCAGGAAAGUACGUGCAUCUCUGUUUAUAUGCAGAUGACUUUCUGGUUCUCUCUCAUAUCUCCCUCUUCUCUCUGACAGGCAAGACUUCGGUUCCUCGGCCUCCUGCCCCAUCUUUUAUGGAUCUCAGGAACUGCCUGUGAGGCUGGCACAUGGCCCUGUCCAUAUUAGUUGCUGGUUCUCACGGCUGGUCCUACAGACCAUUACUGGUGCAAGCUUUCAUUGGCUCUGUGUCAAACACACACACGUACAAGGAUCUGUCCUGUCCAUCAAAGCCAUGGAUUUACUGAAGUUAUGUGUGUUCAUGGUCCGAAGAGAAACACAUCUGUAGCAGCUGGUUCACCAGAUUUGUGAAGUUUCCCAUACAUUGUGAUUCCCAACCAGACCACUGGCAUACCUCAUGAUUCCCAGCCAGAUCACUGGCGUCUCACAUGUUUCAGUGGGGCUGGCGUACAACCCUGCUCACAGAACAGUACAUUGUACAUCCUGUGCUGAAGAGUUAAUUUCCCUGCUAGCUGCUCUGCCACACCUAAGGCGAACUUUCUCCCCAAGCAGCAGGAGUCAGAGGCUGCACCCAGAGAGCACCCUGGAAAACAGAGGAGCAGCAGUAUACAUCACCAGAGGCUGCAGGAGAAUACUGGAAGCAGAGGAUGGGAUCUGCCGCCUGUACCAUGCAGCAAUCAGAGCUAUCCCUACUUGUUCUUUUGAGAUAAAACACACUUUUUAAUGCUUAGAUUUUAAUUACCUUUCUACUCAAUGUACAGGCUUGUAGAGGAGCCCACCCUGUUUUGUAUUUUCUUUAAAGGAUCCAUAAGUUCAAUACGAUGAGACCUAGCUUAGUAAAGAUAAGGAAAGGUUUCCCCAGGGAUGCUGUGGCAUGAAAGAGGUUUCUGUCAUGAUAUGGUCAUUCUAACAAAGCAGAGCAAUACAUGAGGGUUUCUCACCUUUAACUUGUUGGCAUUAUACAGCACAGACCUUCCACUAAUUGUUACAAAUUCAGAAUAAGAAAAAAUAAAUGAAAAACAGAAGUUGAAAUUGUGAGUUAAUGAGAGCAAAAUGUGGAGUGGGCUGCAGCAUUCUGUUUGUUAAAUACUGUUGUUCCUGGAUCAAAGAGAGUGAGGUAUCUAGCAAUUAUUUAAACCUGUUUUAAAACUUCCUUCAAGAAAAUUUACUAAGAGACCUCCUUCUCAUAUCACGAAUGGAUUUGUGGAAAGAUGUUUACCCCUCAGAAAGCCUCAUAGUUUGGCUUAUUACAGAGACAAAAAUCAAUAACAUGCAAACUCUCACCAGUGUUUUUCUCUUUAGGAUGAUUUAAAGGUUAACAAACUGUUUCCUUAACAGUUUUGAGGCUGGUGUCAUAGAAUCAUAGAAGCAUAGAAUGUCCUGGGUUGAAAAGGACCACAAUGAUCAUUGAGUUUCAACCCCCCUGCUAUGUGCAGGGUCACCAACCACCAGACCAGGCUGCCCAGAGCCACAUCCAGCCUGGCCUUGAAUGCCUCCAGGGAUGGGGCAUCCACAGCCUCCUUGGGCAAC
Gallus gallus (chicken) is the source of this 2289-nucleotide long non-coding RNA. NCBI's taxonomy places the organism in Eukaryota, Metazoa, Chordata, Aves, Galliformes, Phasianidae. The record is from Ensembl.